RNAcentral lists this ribosomal RNA (585 nucleotides) under Bacillus cereus. Its description in RNAcentral is "bacterial SSU rRNA". It matches the Rfam family "Bacterial small subunit ribosomal RNA", at positions 1 to 565 of the family's 1533-position model. The record is from RNAcentral. Lineage: Bacteria; Bacillati; Bacillota; Bacilli; Caryophanales; Bacillaceae.
UUUAUUGGAGAGUUUGAUCCUGGCUCAGGAUGAACGCUGGCGGCGUGCCUAAUACAUGCAAGUCGAGCGAAUGGAUUAAGAGCUUGCUCUUAUGAAGUUAGCGGCGGACGGGUGAGUAACACGUGGGUAACCUGCCCAUAAGACUGGGAUAACUCCGGGAAACCGAGGCUAAUACCGGAUAACAUUUUGAACUGCAUGGUUCGAAAUUGAAAGGCGGCUUCGGCUGUCACUUAUGGAUGGACCCGCGUCGCAUUAGCUAGUUGGUGAGGUAACGGCUCACCAAGGCAACGAUGCGUAGCCGACCUGAGAGGGUGAUCGGCCACACUGGGACUGAGACACGGCCCAGACUCCUACGGGAGGCAGCAGUAGGGAAUCUUCCGCAAUGGACGAAAGUCUGACGGAGCAACGCCGCGUGAGUGAUGAAGGCUUUCGGGUCGUAAAACUCUGUUGUUAGGGAAGAACAAGUGCUAGUUGAACAAGCUGGCACCUUGACGGUACCUAACCAGAAAGCCACGGCUAACUACGUGCCAGCAGCCGCGGUAAUACGUAGGUGGCAAGCGUUAUCCGGAAUUAUUGGGCGUAAAG